GCUUGUUAGCACACAACCCCAAAUCUUUAACAUGCUUAAGAUUUGUCUUUCUUUCCAACUACAUCUUAUGGAGUUAUGAAAAUAUUGGAAGAUCUUCUCAUUGACAAUCAUAUUGUUUUUAGAAGUAUAUAUCCUAUAUAUGGGUAAUAGAUAACAUCUAACGAACUAAAUCUUAUUCAAGUUCGUUCUUCUCCUAAUGGAGAAAUACAUUAUCUUACGAUGCUAUUUUCCUUGAUAUCUUUCAAGGAAACUCAUCUAAAGUGUUACCUUAUCUUGGAUCAAAUCUAAGGAGGUAAUUACUUUAGACGUCUUACUCAUCAACAUACAUUACUUGAAUUCUUUGAAACAUUUUGCAAAGUAUUCGGACUUGUGUUUAUUCAAAAUAAACUAUAGUCCAACCGAGAGUGAUCUUCGGUGAAUGUUAUUCAACAUGAGUAAUAUUAUGUUUGUGGACAAGUGCCACUAACAUUUAAGUGAAUUAACCUCAACAACUUUGUGAUUCUUUCUUCUUUCCAAAAGAAUAAAGAUUCGAACAUUUCGCCUUUGUACAAUUUUAACAAGAAGGUAUUGGAUCCGGAUCUAACGAUCCAAAGCAUCCAUCUAUGACCAACUCGUAAUUUAUGUUUUAGAGGUAUCACAACUUUAGUUGGGAUUAGUCACUAUCUUGCAACCUUUUGGGUUUUAAGCAUCAUUAUUUUCUAAACAGUUAACACCACCAUAUUAUCUCUACUAUAGAGAUAAUUAAUUAGAUUACCAUAAUCCAAUCAUUGAUUAAUAAAGAACAUUGUUUUGUCAAACAAAACAUUUAUCCAUUUCACAUAGUGACGGAAUUUAGUUCCUUAAAAUUGGAAUAUAAAGACAAUCUAUGUUUUUUUUCCAAUUUCUUUGGUAGUUCAUAUGAGGAAGUAAGUACCAUCUGCUUUCGCAGAGAUCUACAUUUGAUUCACGUUUCCGAAUGUGAAGUACUUUCUCUUCUCUCAUUAAUCUUCUACUUCUUAUUAGCCACACUUUUACAACGAUUGUAAAACAUAGUCACUAAUACGGAAUCAUGCAUUCAAGUAGAAGAACCAACUGUUUUGAACUAUUCAAGAACAAUUUACAACACCUUUGAAAGGUGUGUCCUUGACACUUGCAAGACAUUUCUUGCAAAUACCCCUUCCAAUAUCCAUCCUUUCAUAAAGAAAGUUUGUUCC
Molecule: long non-coding RNA, 1193 nt
Filed under: Malus domestica (apple)
Lineage: Eukaryota; Viridiplantae; Streptophyta; Magnoliopsida; Rosales; Rosaceae
Description: long non-coding RNA (MDOM_LNC013810)
Source: RNAcentral